CAGGGAUUGCCCUAGUAACGGCGAGUGAAGCGGCAACAGCUCAAAUUUGAAAUCUGGCCCUCGGGUCCGAAUUGUAAUUUGUAGAGGAUGCUUUUGGUUAGGUACCUUCCGAGUUCCCUGGAACGGGACGCCUUAGAGGGUGAGAGCCCCGUACGGUUGGAUGCCGAGCCUCUGUAAAGCUCCUUCGACGAGUCGAGUAGUUUGGGAAUGCUGCUCUAAAUGGGAGGUAAAUUUCUUCUAAAGCUAAAUACUGGCCAGAGACCGAUAGCGCACAAGUAGAGUGAUCGAAAGAUGAAAAGUACUUUGAAAAGAGGGUUAAACAGCACGUGAAAUUGUUGAAAGGGAAGCGUUUAUGACCAGACUUUUUCUAGGCGGAUCAUCCGGUGUUCUCACCGGUGCACUUCGUCUAGUUUAGGCCAACAUCGGUUUCUGUAGGGGGAUAAAAUCGGUAGGAACGUAGCUCCCUCGGGAGUGUUAUAGCCUGUCGAAUAAUACCUUUACGGGGACCGAGGUUCGCGCUCUGCAAGGAUGUUGGCAUAAUGGUCAUCAACGACCCGUCUUGAAACACGGACCAAGGAGUCGAACAUUUGUGCGAGUGUUUGGGUGUUAAACCCUCACGCGUAAUGAAAGUGAACGGAGGUGAGAGCCCUUUGGGGUGCAUCAUCGACCGAUCCUGAAGUUUACGGAUGGAUUUGAGUAAGAGCAUAACUGUUCGGACCCGAAAGAUGGUGAACUAUGCGUGGAUAGGGUGAAGCCAGAGGAAACUCUGGUGGAGGCUCGCAGCGGUUCUGACGUGCAAAUCGAUCGUCAAAUCUGCGCAUGGGGGCGAAAGA
RNAcentral lists this ribosomal RNA (833 nucleotides) under Lepteutypa sambuci. Its description in RNAcentral is "partial 28S ribosomal RNA". It matches the Rfam family "Eukaryotic large subunit ribosomal RNA", at positions 69 to 930 of the family's 3401-position model. The record is from RNAcentral. Lineage: Eukaryota; Fungi; Ascomycota; Sordariomycetes; Amphisphaeriales; Amphisphaeriaceae.